This 73-nucleotide transfer RNA is filed under the name Thermoplasmata archaeon. RNAcentral describes it as "tRNA-Pro". It matches the Rfam family "tRNA". Rfam says of the family: Transfer RNA (tRNA) molecules are approximately 80 nucleotides in length. Their secondary structure includes four short double-helical elements and three loops (D, anti-codon, and T loops). Further hydrogen bonds mediate the characteristic L-shaped molecular structure. tRNAs have two regions of fundamental functional importance: the anti-codon, which is responsible for specific mRNA codon recognition, and the 3' end, to which the tRNAs corresponding amino acid is attached (by aminoacyl-tRNA synthetases). tRNAs cope with the degeneracy of the genetic code in two manners: having more than one tRNA (with a specific anti-codon) for a particular amino acid; and 'wobble' base-pairing, i.e. permitting non-standard base-pairing at the 3rd anti-codon position. Lineage: Archaea; Methanobacteriati; Thermoplasmatota; Thermoplasmata. RNAcentral also lists the same sequence under 1 other name. The record is from RNAcentral.
GGGCCCGUGGGGUAGCUUGGCAUCCUUCCAGCCUGGGGCGCUGGUAACUCGGGUUCGAAUCCCGGCGGGCCCA